RNAcentral lists this ribosomal RNA (463 nucleotides) under uncultured bacterium. RNAcentral's name for it is "SSU rRNA". It matches the Rfam family "Bacterial small subunit ribosomal RNA", at positions 26 to 518 of the family's 1533-position model. The record is from RNAcentral.
AGGAUUAACGCUGGCGGCGUGCCUAACACAUGCAAGUCGAACGAGGUAGCAAUACCUAGUGGCAGACGGGUGAGUAACGCGUGGUCAACCUACCGUUGAGUGGGGGAUAACUAGCCGAAAGGUUAGCUAAUACCGCAUACGAGUCUCGGGGGCAUCCCUGAGCCUUAAAAGGAGCAAUCCGCUCGAUGACGGGACCGCGUCCCAUUAGCUAGAUGGUGGGGUAACGGCCUACCAUGGCACCGAUGGGUAGCUGGUUUGAGAGAGCGACCAGCCACACUGGGACUGAGAAACGGCCCAGACUCCUACGGGAGGCAGCAGUGAGGAAUUUUCCGCAAUGGGCGAAAGCCUGACGGAGCGACGCCGCGUGUGGGAAGAAGGCCUUCGGGUCGUAAACCACUGUCGAAGGGGACGAUAAUGACGGUACCUUGGAGGAACGCCCGGCUAACUACGCGCCAGCAGCCGC